UAUUAUUCAUUUGACAUUUUAAUUAUUCUUACGGAUAACAAAAUUUGUAUCAGCAGAAGUCCAGAUUUCAUGUCUUAUAAUAGAUUUAGUCUCAUACCGACCCUACAGAAGGUCCACGGUCGUUUGAGACGAUGUGUACGACCUUAAGGAAAAAUCUUGAAUUUUGGGCCCACAUACGCCCGUGUAGUCCACACGGCCUAAAAUAGCCCAGACCGUGUGUUGCACAUAGCCUGGCACUCGGUCGUGUAGCGUCGACAGUGCCCAAUUUUGGCUUUCACCAUUCGUUGUUUUUCGGGUUUCUCGUUACAUACCUUGACUAGUUCUAAUGCGCGAACACCCAUAAGACUUUCCAAACCUAUAUGCAUCCAUUAGAAUCCAAAUUAACGACGUGCACGAGUGAAUAAUAAAUACACACCCUCAAUUACUUCUUAGAACAAAAUCAAACGAACCACUUAAAUAAAUUCAGAAACAUAAUAACUCCUUAUCGCAGAAUGAACAACAGCCACACACACAAAUUAAGUUGCUAGAGGAAAACCCAAUGAUUCUCAAUCUUCUCCUAAACAACACAUCCACAAAAAUCAAAUUCCCAAACCACAACACAACUUUGCCACUCCAAAAACCCCUAAACCAAACGAACUUACAAAAUCAAGAAAUUAAAGAAGAGCAAAGCCCUACUUACCAAGCCAAAUGAAGGAAUAAGGGAAAUCCAAAUCGCAACGAUUCAAAUGAACAAUUUGUGGACAAAAUCAAAAAAAGAAGCAAAAAGGGAGAGGAACCAGAAGGAAAACAUCAGAAUGGAAUUGUAGAGAAAAAGAAAAAUAACGUGGGAAAAAGAGGGGAUUUUUGGGAAAAUAAAAAAUUAAAACUAAAAUUUUAAAAAGAAUGAUCUAAACUCCCCACUAACAACCAAAUCUCACAAAAUCCAACACACUAAUCCUCAUCCCAACCACCACAAAAUUUCAAUUCCACCAAACUUCUACUACAUAACCGACACACACACAUAGAAACGAAAAUUGUUAUCAUUCGCUCACGCAGAGAUUCGAACACAAGACCUUAGGGUAAACUAACACCUUACCACAUGAACCAAUAGGCUCAUUCUAACAUGAGUUGACCGAAAAUAUAAUAUAAGCCAAACAGUUAAGGAUAAGGCUAGGAACGAAAAUAGAAAAAUUCCCAAAAGUGAGACUUAAACCCAAGACCUCAAACACACACACAAAUCAUUUAACCGUUGAAUUAGACACUUAUUAAUGACAUAAUAAAACAAAUCAAAAAUUCAUAUUUUUCGGCGUUACAUAUCCCGUAUAUAACAGGGGGUCAACACUAUUAGCAUUCAUAUACCGAGCAUUUAUGAGUGUGACCUACCAAAAAGCCAUUGGAUUAACAGUUGUUAAACCCUCCUACAAGUAGUGUAACACCCCCUAACCUGAAUCCGUCGUCGAAUUAGGGUUACGAAGCAUUAUCGAUCAAAACACGGAUCAGAACAGUCAAUUCAUUUUCAUUUCAUCCAUUUUUUUACCAAGUAGAAUCGUACCUAAAUAAUCGACUAAUCAUUCAUAAAACAUAUUCAUUCUUUGCCAUAAUUUAAUCAUCAAAAUGUCACAUAUCGAAAUAAGCGUGCUAAACACAAUUCCAUCAUAUAUGCCAUUUUCAAGCCAAAUCACAUGGCUAGAUUUACAUUUCAAAAAUAUACUAAUAGAUCACUAGCCUAUACAUGCCAUAUGUCAUAUAUACAAAGCUUCAAAAGUACCAACAAAAUGAUCGAUAGUGCGAUGACUUUUCCCGACGAUCCCUGAGUCUAAGCUAACUUCGAUAAUCUAUAAAACUGUGGAAGAAUGGACAAAGUAAGCUUUGGAAGCUUAGUAAGUCAUAAGCAAAUAAAUCAUUUCAAUGAAAAUUAUAAUUCAAUUCAACUAAGCUGAACUCAAACAUAUCACAAACACAUAUACAAUUAACUAUCUCAUAUGAACUCAUAUUAUUACAUUAAGGGUUAACUUACCUUUAUAUUUUAUAAACAUAUAAAUUCAUACAUACCUGAACUAUUCAGUUUAAAACCACAUUCAGAUUUGUUAAGAACACACAUAAAUCUUAUAAAACUCGUACAAUGCCAUACCCCGGAUAUGGUCUUACAUGUUAACGCAUAUCGAUGCCACUGUCCUAGACAGGAUCUUAUACGAAUCAUAGACGAUGCUAAUGUACCAGACAGGGUCUUACACGUUUUCUUACUUUGAUGCUAAUAUCCCAUACACGGUCUCACACAAAAAUCGUAUCUUGAAGUCCUAUUAUCAUGUCAUCAAUAUCAAAUACAUUUUCUAUGGUUCAUUCAGAGCUAUCGACUUCAUAAUUAAAUCAUUUCAUAUAUAUUCAAAUACGAAUCCAAUUCAGCAAUGAAUAUCGAUAUACCCAACAAUUCGACAACGUAUAACCAUUCACGAAUCAAGUUCGACAAUAUAUAAUCAUACACAAAUCAAAUUUGGCAUCCUAUAUUCAUAAACAAUUCAAUAUCGACAAUAUAUAACCAUGUACGAAUUAAUUUCAGUAAUGUACAACCUUGUACGAAUCAAUUCAACAAAUUAUAUCCAUAUACCAAACAAUUCGGCAAUGUAUAACCAUACACGAAUCAAGUUCGAUAAUGUAUAAUUAAAUACAAAUCCAAUUCGGCAUCCUAUAUACAUAAAAAAUUCAAAAUCGACAAUAUAAAACCAUGUACAAUUUAAUUUCAGCAAGGUAAAACCAUAUAUGAAUCAAUUCGGCAAAAUUUAUCCAUAUGCCAAAUAAUUCAGUAAUAUAUAACCAUACACGAAUCAAGUUCGAUAAUGUAUAAUCAAAUACAAAUCCAAUUCGGCAUCCUAUAUACAUAAACAAUUCAAUAUCGACAAUAUAUAACCAUGUACAAUUUAAUUUUAGCAAGGUAUAAAACAUUUAUAUUUAAUUUCAAAAACAUUUAUUUACUUACGAACUUACCUCGUAUUCGGAAUUGGCGAAUCGGAUCGAUUACACGAUAACUUUCGACUUUUCCCGAUCUAACUCCGAUUUCUUUCUUUCUUGAUCUAAAUCAAUUCAAAUUUAGCUCAUUUAAUCACCUAUUCAUUCAAUUUCAUUCAAAAAUACUUGUUUGGACAUUUUUUCACUUUAGCCCCUAAAGUUUCAUAUUUAUUCAAUUUAGUCUCUAUUUCACAAAAUCACAAAUUACACAAAAAUUCAAUAUACCCAUGCUUAGCCAAAUUUAUUAGAGGUCCCUAACAGCCCAAAAAUUGCAUUUAUUUCACAUUUCAACCCCCAAUUUACAAAUUUCACAAUUUAAUCCAUAAUAAGCAUUUUUAUCAAAAAUCACUUAAUAAAAUAUGAAAACCUAUCAACAAAUAUUUAUUUUUCAUCAUCAAACAACAAAAAGCUUGAAUAUUCAUCAAUGACAUUUCUCAAAAUCAUCAUCAAAUUCGAAAAUUAAAGCAUGGGCUAACUAGAAUACGAAGCAACAAUCUUAAAAACGUAAAAAUUAUCAAAACCCGAACAAAGAACAUACCCAAAUCAAGCUUCUAGAGUGUCGAACCCUAGCUUUAAAAAAAUGGAUUUUCUUUCUUUGAUAUUCGGUUGAAAAAAAGAAUGA
RNAcentral lists this long non-coding RNA (3604 nucleotides) under Gossypium barbadense (sea-island cotton). RNAcentral describes it as "long non-coding RNA (GBAR_LNC013743)". The record is from RNAcentral. Lineage: Eukaryota; Viridiplantae; Streptophyta; Magnoliopsida; Malvales; Malvaceae.